Molecule: ribosomal RNA, 422 nt
Filed under: uncultured bacterium
Lineage: Bacteria
Description: partial 16S ribosomal RNA
Rfam family: Bacterial small subunit ribosomal RNA
Source: RNAcentral
AAUUUUGGACAAUGGGGGCAACCAUGAUCCAGCCAUCCCGCGUGUGCGAUGAAGGCCUUCGGGUUGUAAUGCACUUUUGUCAGGGAAGAAAAGCGACCGGUUAAUACCUGGUGGUGCUGACGGGACCUGCAGCAUAAGCACCGGCUAACUCUGUGCCAGCAGCCUCGGUAAUACGUAGGGUGCAAGCGUUAGUUGGAAUUAUUGGGCUUAAGGCGUGCGCAGGCGGUUCGGCAAGAAGGAUGUGAAAUCCCGGGGCUUAACCUCGGAACUGCAUUAUUAACUGACGGGCUAGAGUAUGUCAGAGGGGGGUAGAAUUCCACGUGUAGCAGUGAAAUGCGUAGAGAUGUGGAGGAAUACCGACGGCGAAGGCAGCCCCCUGGGAUGAUACCGACGCUCAUGCACGAAAGCGUGGGGAGCAAACA